GAUGAGAGGUGAAAGUUUAAGAUGCUGCUAGAUGUCUUUUAAAUCACAAGGGUCUUCUCACAGUCUUGUGAGAUGUCAAGCCAGCAGUUAUUAUCUCCUGACUUACGGCAAUAUGUCUCACGUACAUUCUGCUGUGGUUUAAGGUUGCAGGAUGGUUGGUUCCUCUGUGAACCUUUGAGGAGCUCCUCCCUAUAUUCAGACUCCACCUCCAGCACUGUUCCUCACCUUCAACACUAAGGUUUACCCGCGUCCCCUGUUCAUACAGCGUUCAGCCUGGCAAGCACCGGCUCUUCAUCAAAGAUCCACUGUUUAAUUUAGAAGUUUUCAAUUGGAUUUGUUGAAUAUAUUAAUCGUUUGAUUUGUUUUGCAGGUCUCAAGCCGUAUGCACUCGACAGAAAGGAGGACACUUGAUGCAGUGUGGAAGACGUUUAGAGGACAUCAGAGAUGCACCCUUCAUAUUUGGUAGACACCAUGACUGCAACGAUCUACCAAAGAAAGUCUUGGGUUUCAUUCAUGCAAGAAAUAAUAAAUAAUGUGAACUACAGGUAAUGAAGUCAAGAAGCACGGAGUCAAACCAAACAAGCCUUUCAGAAAGAUGCAAGUGAGAGCUUCAU
This is a long non-coding RNA of Sinocyclocheilus grahami, 614 nucleotides long. RefSeq lists it as uncharacterized. Lineage: Eukaryota; Metazoa; Chordata; Actinopteri; Cypriniformes; Cyprinidae. The record is from RefSeq and is a predicted model, not a curated record. The transcript has 3 exons.